RNAcentral lists this ribosomal RNA (250 nucleotides) under uncultured bacterium. Its description in RNAcentral is "partial 16S ribosomal RNA". It matches the Rfam family "Bacterial small subunit ribosomal RNA", at positions 524 to 773 of the family's 1533-position model. The record is from RNAcentral.
UACGUAGGGUGCAAGCGUUAAUCGGAAUUACUGGGCGUAAAGCGUGCGCAGGCGGUUAUGCAAGACAGAGGUGAAAUCCCCGGGCUCAACCUGGGAACUGCCUUUGUGACUGCAUGGCUAGAGUACGGUAGAGGGGGAUGGAAUUCCGCGUGUAGCAGUGAAAUGCGUAGAUAUGCGGAGGAACACCGAUGGCGAAGGCAAUCCCCUGGACCUGUACUGACGCUCAUGCACGAAAGCGUGGGGAGCAAAC